This 254-nucleotide ribosomal RNA is filed under the name uncultured bacterium. RNAcentral's name for it is "partial small subunit ribosomal RNA". It matches the Rfam family "Bacterial small subunit ribosomal RNA", at positions 26 to 285 of the family's 1533-position model. The record is from RNAcentral.
AGGACGAACGCUGGCGGCGUGCUUAACACAUGCAAGUCGAGCGGAAAGGCCCUUCGGGGUACUCGAGCGGCGAACGGGUGAGUAACACGUGAGUAAUCUGCCCCUAGCUCUGGGAUAGCUCCGGGAAACCGGGAUUAAUACCAGAUACGACCACUUUAGACAUCUGCUGUGGUGGAAAAAAUUUCGGCUAGGGAUGAGCUCGCGGCCUAUCAGCUUGUUGGUGAGGUAACGGCUCACCAAGGCGACGACGGGUA